UACGAAGGGGGCUAGCGUUGUUCGGAAUCACUGGGCGUAAAGGGUGCGUAGGCGGCCGAUCAAGUCGGGGGUGAAAGCCUGUGGCUCAACCACAGAAUUGCCUUCGAUACUGUUUGGCUUGAGACCGGAAGAGGUUAGUGGAACUGCGAGUGUAGAGGUGAAAUUCGUAGAUAUUCGGAGGAACACCAGUGGCGAAGGCGGCUCACUGGUCCAUUACUGACGCUGAGGUGCGAAAGCGUGGGGAGCAAACAGG
This 253-nucleotide ribosomal RNA is filed under the name uncultured bacterium. RNAcentral describes it as "partial 16S ribosomal RNA". It matches the Rfam family "Bacterial small subunit ribosomal RNA", at positions 524 to 776 of the family's 1533-position model. The record is from RNAcentral.